This 369-nucleotide ribosomal RNA is filed under the name Triticum aestivum (bread wheat). RNAcentral describes it as "partial small subunit ribosomal RNA". The record is from RNAcentral. Lineage: Eukaryota; Viridiplantae; Streptophyta; Magnoliopsida; Poales; Poaceae.
AUGCCCGGAGACCGCCCCUCGCUGCGGCUGCACCCUGCAGGAGCUCCUGCUGGACCCUGCAAGUUUCUACCGCAUGUUUGCCGGAGCUCCUCUGCUCCGUCCGCCCUCUGCCAACAACCAGCAGCUAUCGCUGCUUCCCUGCUUGCCCUGUCCGCCGUAGUGGACGACCGUGACGCCCCACUUUCAUCUUGCACAUCCACUUGUUGUUGCGGUCGACGACAAGUUCGACCACCGACAUGGAUUAGCGCCAAGUACUGCGACAGCCCUCCAAGAUUUUGGAUCCAUCAAGUUCGACUACCUUCGUGUGUACAACUACCAUCGCCCCGAAAGACGUUGGAGUCAUCAAAUACCUCUUCGAAAAAAACGUGA